UCUUUUGGUAGUUCAAUGGUAAAGUGUUUGCUCUUUCACAUAAGAUGUCUAGGUUCAAAUCCUAGUAAGGUAU
This 73-nucleotide transfer RNA is filed under the name Rhododendron molle. RNAcentral's name for it is "tRNA-Glu". The record is from RNAcentral. Lineage: Eukaryota; Viridiplantae; Streptophyta; Magnoliopsida; Ericales; Ericaceae.